UCCGGCAUGGUCUAGUGGCUAGGAUACCUGGCUCUCACCCAGGAGGCCCGGGUUCGAUUCCCGGUGUUGGAA
This 72-nucleotide transfer RNA is filed under the name Rhipicephalus microplus (southern cattle tick). RNAcentral's name for it is "tRNA-Glu". It matches the Rfam family "tRNA". Rfam says of the family: Transfer RNA (tRNA) molecules are approximately 80 nucleotides in length. The record is from Rfam by way of RNAcentral. Lineage: Eukaryota; Metazoa; Arthropoda; Arachnida; Ixodida; Ixodidae. RNAcentral also lists the same sequence under 1 other name.